Molecule: ribosomal RNA, 429 nt
Filed under: Verrucomicrobiota bacterium
Lineage: Bacteria; Pseudomonadati; Verrucomicrobiota
Description: Verrucomicrobia bacterium partial 16S ribosomal RNA
Rfam family: Bacterial small subunit ribosomal RNA
Source: RNAcentral
UGGGGAAUCUUCCGCAAUGGGCGAAAGCCUGACGGAGCAACGCCGCGUGAGUGAAGACGGCCUUCGGGUUGUAAAACUCUGUGAUUCGGGACGAAAGAUAAGCAGACGAAUAAUCUGCAUAAGUGACGGUACCGAAAAAGCAAGCCACGGCUAACUACGUGCCAGCAGCCGCGGUAAUACGUAGGUGGCAAGCGUUGUCCGGAAUUAUUGGGCGUAAAGCGCGCGCAGGCGGCUACUUAAGUCCAUCUUAAAAGUGCGGGGCUUAACCCCGUGAUGGGAUGGAAACUGAGAAGCUGGAGUGUCGGAGAGGAAAGUGGAAUUCCUAGUGUAGCGGUGAAAUGCGUAGAGAUUAGGAGGAACACCGGUGGCGAAAGCGGCUUUUUGGCCUGCAACUGACACUGAGGCGCGAAAGCGUGGGGAGCAAACAGG